GACGAGCCUCACAAACGUUAUUCGGAAUUACUGGGCUUAAAGGGUGCGUAGGCGGCGCGGAAGGUUGGGUGUGAAAUCCCUCGGCUCAACCGAGGAACUGCGCCCAAAACUGCCGUGCUCGAGGAAGAUAGAGGUGAGCGGAACUUACGGUGGAGCGGUGAAAUGCGUUGAUAUCGUAAGGAACACCCGUGGCGAAAGCGGCUCACUGGGUCUUUUCUGACGCUGAUGCACGAAAGCUAGGGGAGCAAACGGG
This 253-nucleotide ribosomal RNA is filed under the name uncultured bacterium. RNAcentral describes it as "partial 16S ribosomal RNA". It matches the Rfam family "Bacterial small subunit ribosomal RNA", at positions 524 to 776 of the family's 1533-position model. The record is from RNAcentral.